This is a long non-coding RNA of Paramisgurnus dabryanus, 1223 nucleotides long. RefSeq lists it as uncharacterized. Lineage: Eukaryota; Metazoa; Chordata; Actinopteri; Cypriniformes; Cobitidae. The record is from RefSeq and is a predicted model, not a curated record.
UACCAGACUAUAUUUGAAUACGGCAUACCCAUGAAUUCUGGAACUGUUAUUCCUUAACCCAGUUUGGAGGAUAAGAGCUUACCAACUAGUUAUAAAUAUGCUGAGGUGAUGUAUUGCAAAAUAGCCAACAUACAACAAUAUGGAUGACCCUCUGUCUGGUCAACAGGAGUUUAAAUAUGGAUGGGGCAGUUAUGUGGCAGCUCUUCCCUGGCUCAUUCACCUCUUGCCUUUCAUUUGUGAAAGGAAGAAAGACUGGAGAGGGUCAAUGUGCAACUGAAGCUACUGAUUGUGCUAUGUGAUGAGCAUCAAUCCAUGCUUUGAGGGGAAUGAAUCAGCACAGCCCUGCCUGCACUGCGUUGGGAACAGAAGUUGCAUCCAGAAUUUUUGCAUCAUUCUGGACCAAAAAGCCAUUCCCUCCAUGAUGAAGACCACUGAUGCAGCCUUCCACUACAUCAUGAGUAAAACAACUACAGAACUAAAUACCAGGUUGGAAUGUAUUUAAGAAAAAUGAAACGUCUUUUGAAUUGAAAUGUCUGUUUUGUUAUGGAUAAAUCUUUAGUAUUGUGAAGGAUAAGCAUUUCUGCCUGCCAGUAAGGUAAUUGCAGUGUAUUUUAAUGUUCAAGUUUUGAGUAGGGUGGCUAAUUUUUUUAAACUCUCAUUUGAUAUAUUAAAGACCUUAUAAUAAGUGGUUUUCAUGUCACUGCGCUGUGGUAUAAGAUAACUUUCAUUAUUCCAUACUGUAUUCUGUUUCUAAUUGUAGCUGAGGUAUUUAAAUAAGCAGUGUUAAAUGCAAAGUGUUGUGUGUAUCAAUGUAAAUAUUAAAUGUGAUGUACUUUAAUAAAAAGAGGUUUUGCAAUAUUUCUUGUCAUUUGUCUUUUAUAGAAACAACCCAUUAGCAACAAAAGUGGCUAUUAAUCAGUAUUUUAACACUUAACAUUGUUGAAUUCACAUUACACUGGUGUUGACUUUAAAUUAGGAGUGUUAAUUUUUAACACUGUAUUUCUGUGCCAACACCAGUGUAGUGUGGAAACAACAAUGAAUAGUGUUGAACAAAGUGUAAAAUUUAACAAUAUUGAGUGUUAAAUUAACAUAUAAUGAGUGUUGUUAAAUUAACACUACACUUUUGACUAAAUUAACACAGUGUAGUGUGGACACAUAUACACACUUUUCCAGUGUUAAAUUUGACACCCUGGGUGUUAUUUUAACACCAGUGAUUUUGCUGU